UCUGUAGCUCAGUCGGUAGAGCAAGGGACUGAAAAUCCCUGUGUCGGCGGUUCGAUUCCACCCG
RNAcentral lists this transfer RNA (64 nucleotides) under pig gut metagenome. It matches the Rfam family "tRNA", at positions 6 to 65 of the family's 71-position model. Rfam says of the family: Transfer RNA (tRNA) molecules are approximately 80 nucleotides in length. Their secondary structure includes four short double-helical elements and three loops (D, anti-codon, and T loops). The record is from RNAcentral.